AGAUAGCCUGCAUGUCUAAGUAUAAGCAAUUAUACCGCGAAACUGCGAAUGGCUCAUUAUAUAAGUUAUCGUUUAUUUGAUAAUACUUUACUACUUGGAUAACCGUGGUAAUUCUAGAGCUAAUACAUGCUAAAAAUCCCGACUUCGGAAGGGUUGUAUUUAUUAGAUUAAAAACCAAUGCCCCUCGGGGCUCUCUGGUGAAUCAUGAUAACUAGUCGAAUCGACAGGCCUUGUGCCGGCGAUGGCUCAUUCAAAUUUCUUCCCUAUCAACUUUCGAUGUUUGGGUCUUGUCCAAACAUGGUGGCAACGGGUAACGGAGGGUUAGGGCUCGACCCCGGAGAAGGAGCCUGAGAAACGGCUACUACAUCCAAGGAAGGCAGCAGGCGCGCAAAUUACCCAAUCCCGACACGGGGAGGUAGUGACAAUAAAUACUGAUACAGGGCUCUUUUGGGUCUUGUAAUCGGAAUGAGUACAAUUUAAAUCCCUUAACGAGGAACAAUUGGAGGGCAAGUCUGGUGCCAGCAGCCGCGGUAAUUCCAGCUCCAAUAGCGUAUAUUAAAGUUGUUGUGGUUAAAAAGCUCGUAGUUGAACCUUGGGCCUGGCUGGCCGGUCCGCCUCACCGCGUGCACUGGUCCGGACGGGCCUUUCCCUCUGCGGAACCCCAUGCCCUUCACUGGGUGUGGCGGGGAAACAGGACUUUUACUUUGAAAAAAUUAGAGUGCUCAAGGCAGGCCUAUGCCUCGAAUACAUUAGCAUGGAAUAAUAG
This 766-nucleotide ribosomal RNA is filed under the name Trichoderma viride. RNAcentral's name for it is "SSU rRNA". It matches the Rfam family "Eukaryotic small subunit ribosomal RNA", at positions 41 to 820 of the family's 1831-position model. The record is from RNAcentral. Lineage: Eukaryota; Fungi; Ascomycota; Sordariomycetes; Hypocreales; Hypocreaceae.